UGCAGAGAACUUUCCAGAGAUGGAUUGGUGCCUUCGGGAACUCUGACACAGGUGCUGCAUGGCUGUCGUUAGCUCGUGUCGUGAGAUGUUGGGUUAAGUCCGUAACGAGCGCAACCCUUGUCCUUAGUUACCAGCACGUUAUGGUGGGCACUCUAAGGAGACUGCCGGUGACAAACCGGAGGAAGGUGGGGAUGACGUCAAGUCAUCAUGGCCCUUACGGCCUGGGCUACACACGUGCUACAAUGGUCGGUACAAAGGGUUGCCAAGCCGCGAGGUGGAGCUAAUCCCAUAAAACCGAUCGUAGUCCGGAUCGCAGUCUGCAACUCGACUGCGUGAAGUCGGAAUCGCUAGUAAUCGUGAAUCAGAAUGUCACGGUGAAUACGUUCCCGGGCCUU
This 395-nucleotide ribosomal RNA is filed under the name uncultured Pseudomonas sp. RNAcentral's name for it is "bacterial SSU rRNA". It matches the Rfam family "Bacterial small subunit ribosomal RNA", at positions 987 to 1382 of the family's 1533-position model. Lineage: Bacteria; Pseudomonadati; Pseudomonadota; Gammaproteobacteria; Pseudomonadales; Pseudomonadaceae. The record is from RNAcentral.